Drosophila hydei is the source of this 503-nucleotide long non-coding RNA. RefSeq lists it as uncharacterized. The transcript has 3 exons. NCBI's taxonomy places the organism in Eukaryota, Metazoa, Arthropoda, Insecta, Diptera, Drosophilidae. The record is from RefSeq and is a predicted model, not a curated record.
UAACAAACUAAGGGAAUAAGUAAGCCAGGAACUAGGAAAUAAAGCGAGAAGCUAAGUAAUAAAAAGUCGAACAAUUGAAGUGGGCGUGGCAAGCGGUAGGAGUCCGAGUGGGCAGCUCACACUGGCUGUCUGCCGCCGCUUGCCACUCGCUGGACAAAAACAAAGCCGUACGAAAAUUGGUCCAUUUUUUGCUGUUGUUGUUUCUGUGCAGUAAAUAUUUUCAGCAAGCACAAAGCUGAAAUCACAUUUGGCGCCGAGGUGCGAGUGUGCGAUUUAGGACGUGGCUGGCCAGCCAGCCAGCCAGCCAGACAGGCAGCAAGGAUGACGGGAGGAUACCUGAACACAAAGCAGAGCAAAGGACACGAGUCAAUAGCGAAAAAAAGCAAAUAGAGAUUUCCAUUUGCUGCCCCAGCACGCGCCCUGACUAAAUUAUGAUACAGUUUUAGCACUUAUAUAUAUAAUUUUAGCCACAGACAGGACAGGACAGGCACAGGCACAGGCAC